GGGACACGUGGUAUCCUGUCUGAAUAUGGGGGGACCAUCCUCCAAGGCUAAAUACUCCUGACUGACCGAUAGUGAACCAGUACCGUGAGGGAAAGGCGAAAAGAACCCCGGCGAGGGGAGUGAAAAAGAACCUGAAACCGUGUACGUACAAGCAGUGGGAGCACCUUCGGGUGUGACUGCGUACCUUUUGUAUAAUGGGUCAGCGACUUAUAUUCUGUAGCAAGGUUAACCGUAUAGGGGAGCCGCAGGGAAACCGAGUCUUAACUGGGCGUUAAGUUGCAGGGUAUAGACCCGAAACCCGGUGAUCUAGCCAUGGGCAGGUUGAAGGUUGGGUAACACUAACUGGAGGACCGAACCGACUAAUGUUGAAAAAUUAGCGGAUGACUUGUGGCUGGGGGUGAAAGGCCAAUCAAACCGGGAGAUAGCUGGUUCUCCCCGAAAGCUAUUUAGGUAGCGCCUCGUGAACUCAUCUUCGGGGGUAGAGCACUGUUUCGGCUAGGGGGUCAUCCCGACUUACCAACCCGAUGCAAACUACGAAUACCGAAGAAUGUUAUCACGGGAGACACACGGCGGGUGCUAACGUCCGUCGUGAAGAGGGAAACAACCCAGACCGCCAGCUAAGGUCCCAAAGUCAUGGUUAAGUGGGAAACGAUGUGGGAAGGCACAGACAGCCAGGAUGUUGGCUUAGAAGCAGCCAUCAUUUAAAGAAAGCGUAAUAGCUCACUGGUCGAGUCGGCCUGCGCGGAAGAUGUAACGGGGCUAAACCAUGCACCGAAGCUGCGGCAGCGACACUAUGUGUUGUUGGGUAGGGGAGCGUUCUGUAAGCCUGCGAAGGUGUGCUGUGAGGCAUGCUGGAGGUAUCA
RNAcentral lists this ribosomal RNA (863 nucleotides) under Klebsiella pneumoniae. RNAcentral describes it as "partial 23S ribosomal RNA". It matches the Rfam family "Bacterial large subunit ribosomal RNA", at positions 419 to 1284 of the family's 2925-position model. Lineage: Bacteria; Pseudomonadati; Pseudomonadota; Gammaproteobacteria; Enterobacterales; Enterobacteriaceae. The record is from RNAcentral.